Molecule: RNA transcript, 1089 nt
Organism: Abrus precatorius (Indian licorice)
Lineage: Eukaryota; Viridiplantae; Streptophyta; Magnoliopsida; Fabales; Fabaceae
Gene name: proteasome subunit beta type-6
Exons: 8
Source: RefSeq, a predicted model, not a curated record
GUCUAUAAACAAGAAAAGGAAAAGUGAGACUUGAAUUUACUUGUGCAGUUUGCGUUAGGGCACACACCGUUUUCUUCUUCUUCAUCGUUGUUUCGCUGUCAAACUAAUCAGAAUCAUGGAUCACAAGGUGGAUCUCAGUGCCCCUCAUUCCAUGGGUACUACUAUCAUUGGCGUUACUUACAAUGGCGGUGUCGUUCUCGGUGCUGAUUCUCGAACCAGCACCGGAGUAUAUGUUGCAAACCGAGCCUCAGACAAAAUCACACAGCUCACUGAUAACGUCUACGUGUGUCGCUCUGGAUCGGCAGCAGAUUCUCAGAUUGUCUCUGAUUAUGUGCGUUACUUCCUCCAUCAACACACGAUACAACUUGGACAACCUGCAACAGUCAAAACUGCUGCAAACCUUGUUCGGCUUCUCUCAUAUAACAACAAGAAUUUUUUAGAGACUGGUUUGAUUGUUGGUGGUUGGGACAAAUAUGAAGGUGGACAAAUUUAUGGUAUUCCUCUAGGUGGAACAAUUGUUCAGCAACCUUUUGCUAUUGGAGGAUCUGGCUCCAGUUACUUGUAUGGGUUUUUUGACCAAGCUUGGAAAGAGGGAAUGACCAAGGAUGAAGCUGAGGAUGUACGCGUGAAGUUUAUAUCUGAAUCCUUGUUGCUGACAGUGUAUUUGUUGUACGGCAGGAUUUAGUAAAAAAGGCAGUUUCACUGGCUAUUGCUCGUGAUGGUGCAAGUGGUGGGGUUGUCCGAACAGUCAUAAUAAACUCUGAGGGAGUGACCAGGAAUUUCUACCCUGGCGAUCAACUUCCAAUAUGGCAUGAGGAACUGGAGGCUCAUAACUCAUUGCUAGACAUUCUUGGUGCCCCGGAGCCAAUGAGCAUGUGAACUAGUUGCUGUGAUUAAGAAUCUUGCCCGGCUAGAUUAUAUCUUGUCAUCUCUUUUCUGAACUAGUCAUCGAUUUGUGUAAUCGCUUACAUUGGAUAUUGUUUAUGUUGCGUUAAAUCUUGUGUACCAUGGAUUUCCUUAUUCCAUCAUAUGGCUCUAAAGUAACAUCUACUUAAAUGGUGGUGCAUCCAAAGCAAUUAUCAAGUCGUG